GAUGAACGCUAGCGGCAGGCCUAACACAUGCAAGUCGAGGGGCAGCACGUCUUCGGAUGGUGGCGACCGGCGCACGGGUGCGUAACGCGUAUGCAACCUACCUCUUACAGUGGGAUAGCCCAGAGAAAUUUGGAUUAAUACCGCAUAGUAUACAGAUUCAGCAUUGGGACUGUAUUAAACAUUUAUGGGUAAGAGAUGGGCAUGCGUUCUAUUAGUUAGUUGGAGUGGUAACGGCACCCCAAGACAGCGAUAGAUAGGGCCCGUCGAGAGGGGAGUCCCCACCACUGGUACUGAGACACGGACCGAGACUCCUACGGGAGGCAGCAGUGAGGAAUAUUGGACGAAU
RNAcentral lists this ribosomal RNA (346 nucleotides) under uncultured bacterium. RNAcentral describes it as "bacterial SSU rRNA". It matches the Rfam family "Bacterial small subunit ribosomal RNA", at positions 28 to 373 of the family's 1533-position model. The record is from RNAcentral.